This 203-nucleotide ribosomal RNA is filed under the name uncultured bacterium. RNAcentral describes it as "partial 16S ribosomal RNA". It matches the Rfam family "Bacterial small subunit ribosomal RNA", at positions 524 to 724 of the family's 1533-position model. The record is from RNAcentral.
UACGUAGGAUGCAAGCGUUGUUCGGAAUUACUGGGCGUAAAGAGUACGUAGGCGGUUUGAUAAGUCUGAUAUUAAAGACUGGGGCUUAACCUCAGGAAUGUAUCGGAAACUGUCAGACUAGAGGACAAUAGAGGAAGUAGGGAAUUCUCAGUGUAGCGGUGAAAUGCGUAGAUAUUGGGAAGAACACCAGUGGCGAAAGGCGG